AGUGAACGCUGGCGGUAGGCCUAACACAUGCAAGUCGAACGGCAGCACAGUAAGAGCUUGCUCUUACGGGUGGCGAGUGGCGGACGGGUGAGGAAUACAUCGGAAUCUACUUUUUCGUGGGGGAUACGUAGGGAAACUUACGCUAAUACCGCAUACGACCUACGGGUGAAAGCAGGGGAUCUUCGGACCUUGCGCGAUUGAAUGAGCCGAUGUCAGAUUAGCUAGUUGGCGGGGUAAAGGCCCACCAAGGCGACGAUCCGUAGCUGGUCUGAGAGGAUGAUCAGCCACACUGGAACUGAGACACGGUCCAGACUCCUACGGGAGGCAGCAGUGGGGAAUAUUGGACAAUGGGCGCAAGCCUGAUCCAGCCAUACCGCGUGGGUGAAGAAGGCCUUCGGGUUGUAAAGCCCUUUUGUUGGGAAAGAAAAGCAGCAGGUUAAUACCCCGCUGUUCUGACGGUACCCAAAGAAUAAGCACCGGCUAACUUCGUG
RNAcentral lists this ribosomal RNA (491 nucleotides) under uncultured bacterium. Its description in RNAcentral is "partial 16S ribosomal RNA". It matches the Rfam family "Bacterial small subunit ribosomal RNA", at positions 29 to 507 of the family's 1533-position model. The record is from RNAcentral.